Molecule: ribosomal RNA, 496 nt
Filed under: uncultured bacterium
Lineage: Bacteria
Description: partial 16S ribosomal RNA
Rfam family: Bacterial small subunit ribosomal RNA
Source: RNAcentral
AUGAACGCUGGCGGCGUGCCUAAUACAUGCAAGUCGAGCGAACGGACGAGAAGCUUGCUUCUCUGAUGUUAGCGGCGGACGGGUGAGUAACACGUGGAUAACCUACCUAUAAGACUGGGAUAACUUCGGGAAGCCGGAGCUAAUACCGGAUAAUAUUUUGAACCGCAUGGUUCAAAAGUGAAAGACGGUCUUGCUGUCACUUAUAGAUGGAUCCGCGCUGCAUUAGCUAGUUGGUAAGGUAACGGCUUACCAAGGCAACGAUGCAUAGCCGACCUGAGAGGGUGAUCGGCCACACUGGAACUGAGACACGGUCCAGACUCCUACGGGAGGCAGCAGUAGGGAAUCUUCCGCAAUGGGCGAAAGCCUGACGGAGCAACGCCGCGUGAGUGAUGAAGGUCUUCGGAUCGUAAAACUCUGUUAUUAGUGAAGAACAUAUGUGUAAGUAACUGUGCACAUCUUGACGGUACCUAAUCAGAAAGCCACGGCUAACUACGUG